AACGAACGCUGGCGGCAUGCCUAACACAUGCAAGUCGAACGAGACCUUCGGGUCUAGUGGCGCACGGGUGCGUAACGCGUGGGAACCUGCCCUUAGGUUCGGAAUAACUCCCCGAAAGGGGUGCUAAUACUGGAUAAUGUCUUCGGACCAAAGAUUUAUCGCCUUUGGAUGGGCCCGCGUUGGAUUAGCUAGUUGGUAGGGUAAAAGCCUGCCAAGGCGACGAUCCAUAGCUGGUCUGAGAGGAUGAUCAGCCACACUGGGACUGAGACACGGCCCAGACUCCUACGGGAGGCAGCAGUGGGGAAUAUUGGACAAUGGGCGAAAGCCUGAUCCAGCAAUGCCGCGUGAGUGAUGAAGGCCUUAGGGUUGUAAAGCUCUUUUACCCGGGAUGAUAAUGACAGUACCGGGAGAAUAAGCUCCGGCUAACUCCGUG
RNAcentral lists this ribosomal RNA (433 nucleotides) under uncultured bacterium. Its description in RNAcentral is "partial 16S ribosomal RNA". It matches the Rfam family "Bacterial small subunit ribosomal RNA", at positions 29 to 507 of the family's 1533-position model. The record is from RNAcentral.